AUACGUAGGUGGCGAGCGUUAUUCGGAUUUACUGGGCGUAAAGGGUCCGCAGGGGGUUUGCCAAGUCUGAUGUGAAAGCCCACGGCUCAACUGUGGAACUGCAUUGGAAACUGGCGAGCUUGAGUGCACGAUGGGUGAGCGGAAUUCCUGGUGUAGCGGUGGAAUGCGUAGAUAUCAGGAAGAACACCGAUGGCGAAGGCGGCUCACUGGCGUGCUACUGACCCUCAUGGACGAAAGCGUGGGUAGCAAACAGGAUUAGAUACCCUGGUAGUCCACGCUGUAAACGUUGUGCACUAGAUGUAGGCGGAGUCUGAUCCCGUCUGUGUCCAAGCUAACGCGUUAAGUGCACCGCCUGGGGACUACGGCCGCAAGGCUAAA
RNAcentral lists this ribosomal RNA (378 nucleotides) under uncultured bacterium. Its description in RNAcentral is "bacterial SSU rRNA". It matches the Rfam family "Bacterial small subunit ribosomal RNA", at positions 523 to 898 of the family's 1533-position model. The record is from RNAcentral.